This 2007-nucleotide ribosomal RNA is filed under the name Salmonella enterica subsp. enterica serovar Typhimurium. Its description in RNAcentral is "partial 23S ribosomal RNA". It matches the Rfam family "Bacterial large subunit ribosomal RNA", at positions 1 to 2405 of the family's 2925-position model. Lineage: Bacteria; Pseudomonadati; Pseudomonadota; Gammaproteobacteria; Enterobacterales; Enterobacteriaceae. The record is from RNAcentral.
UGAACUCCACAUCCGCAUCCUUUGCUGAGGAUACGGUUAACGGAGCGAAAGCGACGUUCAACCGCAAAACAAGCAGAGGGGGCUUAGUGGUGGGGUGACUGCGUACCUUUUGUAUAAUGGGUCAGCGACUUAUAUUCUGUAGCAAGGUUAACCGAAUAGGGGAGCCGGAGGGAAACCGAGUCUUAAUUGGGCGUUAAGUUGCAGGGUAUAGACCCGAAACCCGGUGAUCUAGCCAUGGGCAGGUUGAAGGUUGGGUAACACUAACUGGAGGACCGAACCGACUAAUGUUGAAAAAUUAGCGGAUGACCUGUGGCUGGGGGUGAAAGGCCAAUCAAACCGGGAGAUAGCUGGUUCUCCCCGAAAGCUAUUUAGGUAGCGCCUCGUGAAUUCAUCUCCGGGGGUAGAGCACUGUUUCGGCUAGGGGGCCAUCCCGGCUUACCAACCCGAUGCAAACUGCGAAUACCGGAGAAUGUUAUCACGGGAGACACACGGCGGGUGCUAACGUCCGUCGUGAAGAGGGAAACAACCCAGACCGCCAGCUAAGGUCCCAAAGUCAUGGUUAAGUGGGAAACGAUGUGGGAAGGCCCAGACAGCCAGGAUGUUGGCUUAGAAGCAGCCAUCAUUUAAAGAAAGCGUAAUAGCUCACUGGUCGAGUCGGCCUGCGCGGAAGAUGUAACGGGGCUAAACCAUGCACCGAAGCUGCGGCAGCGAACGUAUCACCCAAGACAACUUUACGGAGUUGACGAUUGACGGAGCGAAGCGACGUCAAAGCGUUCAUUAAAGUCGAGUUGGCUUAGGGAUACGUUCGUUGGGUAGGGGAGCGUUCUGUAAGCCUGUGAAGGUGUGUCGUGAGGCAUGCUGGAGGUAUCAGAAGUGCGAAUGCUGACAUAAGUAACGAUAAAGCGGGUGAAAAGCCCGCUCGCCGGAAGACCAAGGGUUCCUGUCCAACGUUAAUCGGGGCAGGGUGAGUCGACCCCUAAGGCGAGGCCGAAAGGCGUAGUCGAUGGGAAACGGGUUAAUAUUCCCGUACUUGGUGUUACUGCGAAGGGGGGACGGAGAAGGCUAUGUUGGCCGGGCGACGGUUGUCCCGGUUUAAGCGUGUAGGUGUGUGUUCCAGGUAAAUCCGGUUCACUUUAACACUGAGGCGUGACGACGAGGCACUACGGUGCUGAAGCAACAAAUGCCCUGCUUCCAGGAAAAGCCUCUAAGCAUCAGGUAACAUCAAAUCGUACCCCAAACCGACACAGGUGGUCAGGUAGAGAAUACCAAGGCGCUUGAGAGAACUCGGGUGAAGGAACUAGGCAAAAUGGUGCCGUAACUUCGGGAGAAGGCACGCUGACACGUAGGUGAAGUGAUUUACUCAUGGAGCUGAAGUCAGUCGAAGAUACCAGCUGGCUGCAACUGUUUAUUAAAAACACAGCACUGUGCAAACACGAAAGUGGACGUAUACGGUGUGACGCCUGCCCGGUGCCGGAAGGUUAAUUGAUGGGGUCAGCGCAAGCGAAGCUCCUGAUCGAAGCCCCGGUAAACGGCGGCCGUAACUAUAACGGUCCUAAGGUAGCGAAAUUCCUUGUCGGGUAAGUUCCGACCUGCACGAAUGGCGUAAUGAUGGCCAGGCUGUCUCCACCCGAGACUCAGUGAAAUUGAACUCGCUGUGAAGAUGCAGUGUACCCGCGGCAAGACGGAAAGACCCCGUGAACCUUUACUAUAGCUUGACACUGAACAUUGAGCCUUGAUGUGUAGGAUAGGUGGGAGGCUUUGAAGUGUGGACGCCAGUCUGCAUGGAGCCGACCUUGAAAUACCACCCUUUAAUGUUUGAUGUUCUAACGUGGACCCGUAAUCCGGGUUGCGGACAGUGUCUGGUGGGUAGUUUGACUGGGGCGGUCUCCUCCUAAAGAGUAACGGAGGAGCACGAAGGUUGGCUAAUCCUGGUCGGACAUCAGGAGGUUAGUGCAAUGGCAUAAGCCAGCUUGACUGCGAGCGUGACGGCGCGAGCAGGUGCGAAAG